This is a non-coding RNA of Triticum urartu, 84 nucleotides long. Lineage: Eukaryota; Viridiplantae; Streptophyta; Magnoliopsida; Poales; Poaceae. The record is from Rfam.
UAAGAAAAUUAUUAUAUCAAUAAUUUUCAUCAAUUUAAAAGGUUUUAUAAAAUGGCUCGUAUUGCAGGUAUUAAUAUUCCUGAA